Molecule: ribosomal RNA, 253 nt
Filed under: uncultured bacterium
Lineage: Bacteria
Description: partial 16S ribosomal RNA
Rfam family: Bacterial small subunit ribosomal RNA
Source: RNAcentral
UACAUAGACCUCAAGCGUUAUCCGGAAUCACUGGGCGUAAAGGGCGCGUAGGCGGCGUAACAAGUCACUUGUGAAAUCUCCGGGCUUAACUCGGAGCGGUCAAGUGAUACUGUUGUGCUAGAGUGCGGAAGGGGCUACUGGAAUUCUCGGUGUAGCGGUGAAAUGCGUAGAUAUCGAGAGGAACACCUGCGGCGAAGGCGGGUAGCUGGGCCGACACUGACGCUGAUGCGCGAAAGCCAGGGGAGCGUACGGG